AAGUUGUAUGUAAGAAUUGGAGGAAAUUAAACCCAACACUAACCAGCUUUAUUGGGUUUAAUUUUCUCCAAUAUCUUACCUACGGUAU
Molecule: microRNA precursor, 88 nt
Filed under: Theobroma cacao (cacao)
Lineage: Eukaryota; Viridiplantae; Streptophyta; Magnoliopsida; Malvales; Malvaceae
Description: MIR2275 microRNA precursor family
Rfam family: MIR2275 microRNA precursor family
Source: Rfam by way of RNAcentral